GCAUAAAUAAGCGGAGGAAAAGAAACCAACAGGGAUUGCCCCAGUAACGGCGAGUGAAGCGGCAAGAGCUCAAAUUUGAAAGCUGGCUCCUUCGGGGUCCGCAUUGUAAUUUGUAGAGGAUGCUUCGGGAGCGGUCCCCAUCUAAGUGCCCUGGAACGGGACGUCAUAGAGGGUGAGAAUCCCGUAUGGGAUGGGGUGUCCGCGCCCGUGUGAAGCUCCUUCGACGAGUCGAGUUGUUUGGGAAUGCAGCUCUAAAUGGGUGGUAAAUUUCAUCUAAAGCUAAAUAUUGGCCGGAGACCGAUAGCGCACAAGUAGAGUGAUCGAAAGAUGAAAAGCACUUUGAAAAGAGAGUUAAAAAGCACGUGAAAUUGUUGAAAGGGAAGCGCUUGCGACCAGACUCGCUCGCGGGGUUCAGCCGGCAUUCGUGCCGGUGUAUUUCCCCGCGGGCGGGCCAGCGUCGGUUUGGGCGGUCGGUCAAAGGCCCUCGGAAGGUAACGCCCCUAGGGGCGUCUUAUAGCCGAGGGUGCAAUGCGACCUGCCUAGACCGAGGAACGCGCUUCGGCUCGGACGCUGGCAUAAUGGUCGUAAACGACCCGUCUUGAAACACGGACCAAGGAGUCUAACAUCUACGCGAGUGUUCGGGUGUCAAACCCGUGCGCGAAGUGAAAGCGAACGGAGGUGGGAACCCUUACGGGUGCACCAUCGACCGAUCCUGAAGUCUUCGGAUGGAUUUGAGUAAGAGCGUAGCUGUUGGGACCCGAAAGAUGGUGAACUAUGCCUGAAUAGGGCGAAGCCAGAGGAAACUCUGGUGGAGGCUCGUAGCGGUUCUGACGUGCAAAUCGAUCGUCGAAUUUGGGUAUAGGGGGCGAAAGACUAAUCGAACCAUCUGGUAGCUGGUUCCUGCG
RNAcentral lists this ribosomal RNA (905 nucleotides) under Penicillium senticosum. RNAcentral's name for it is "LSU rRNA". It matches the Rfam family "Eukaryotic large subunit ribosomal RNA", at positions 38 to 962 of the family's 3401-position model. The record is from RNAcentral. Lineage: Eukaryota; Fungi; Ascomycota; Eurotiomycetes; Eurotiales; Aspergillaceae.